GAUGAACGCUAGCGACAGGCUUAACACAUGCAAGUCGAGGGGCAGCGCGGGAGUCAGCUUGCUGACUUCUGGCGGCGACCGGCGCACGGGUGAGUAACACGUAUGCAACCUGCCCGCCACAGGGGGAUAACCGGGAGAAAUCCCGACUAAUACCGCGUAGUCCGGAUGGAGGCAUCUCCGUACGGGGAAAGGAGCGAUCCGGUGGCGGAUGGGCAUGCGGCGCAUUAGCUAGUCGGCGGGGUAACGGCCCACCGAGGCGACGAUGCGUAGGGGUUCUGAGAGGAAGGUCCCCCACAUUGGUACUGAGACACGGACCAAACUCCUACGGGAGGCAGCAGUGAGGAAUAUUGGUCAAUGGACGAGAGUCUGAACCAGCCAAGUAGCGUGCAGGAUGACGGCCCUAUGGGUUGUAAACUGCUUUUAUAAGGGAAUAAAGUGGGAGUCGUGACUCCUUUUGCAUGUACCUUAUGAAUAAGGACCGGCUAAUUCCGUG
RNAcentral lists this ribosomal RNA (493 nucleotides) under uncultured bacterium. RNAcentral's name for it is "bacterial SSU rRNA". It matches the Rfam family "Bacterial small subunit ribosomal RNA", at positions 28 to 507 of the family's 1533-position model. The record is from RNAcentral.